This 501-nucleotide ribosomal RNA is filed under the name uncultured bacterium. RNAcentral describes it as "partial 16S ribosomal RNA". It matches the Rfam family "Bacterial small subunit ribosomal RNA", at positions 30 to 523 of the family's 1533-position model. The record is from RNAcentral.
AUUGAACGCUGGCGGCAGGCUUAACACAUGCAAGUCGAGCGGGGGAAGGUAGCUUGCUACCGGACCUAGCGGCGGACGGGUGAGUAAUGCUUAGGAAUCUGCCUAUUAGUGGGGGACAACAUCUCGAAAGGGAUGCUAAUACCGCAUACGUCCUACGGGAGAAAGCAGGGGAUCUUCGGACCUUGCGCUAAUAGAUGAGCCUAAGUCGGAUUAGCUAGUUGGUGGGGUAAAGGCCUACCAAGGCGACGAUCUGGAGCGGGUCUGAGAGGACGAUCCGCCACACUGGGACUGAGACACGGCCCAGACUCCUACGGGAGGCAGCAGUGGGGAAUAUUGGACAAUGGGGGGAACCCUGAUCCAGCCAUGCCGCGUGUGUGAAGAAGGCCUUAUGGUUGUAAAGCACUUUAAGCGAGGAGGAGGCUACUUUAGUUAAUACCUAGAGAUAGUGGACGUUACUCGCAGAAUAAGCACCGGCUAACUCUGUGCCAGCCGCCGCAGUAA